RNAcentral lists this ribosomal RNA (505 nucleotides) under uncultured bacterium. Its description in RNAcentral is "bacterial SSU rRNA". It matches the Rfam family "Bacterial small subunit ribosomal RNA", at positions 791 to 1301 of the family's 1533-position model. The record is from RNAcentral.
UAGUCCACGCCGUAAACGAUGGUCACUAGCUGUUCGAACUUCGGUUUGAGUGGCUAAGCGAAAGUGAUAAGUGACCCACCUGGGGAGUACGUUCGCAAGAAUGAAACUCAAAGGAAUUGACGGGGGCCCGCACAAGCGGUGGAGCAUGUGGUUUAAUUCGAUGAUACGCGAGGAACCUUACCAGGGCUUAAAUGUAAAUUGACAGGUUUAGAGAUAGACUUUUCUUCGGACAAUUUACAAGGUGCUGCAUGGUUGUCGUCAGCUCGUGCCGUGAGGUGUCAGGUUAAGUCCUAUAACGAGCGCAACCGCUGUUGUUAGUUGCCAGCGAUUCAAGUCGGGAACUCUAACAAGACUGCCAGUGCAAACUGUGAGGAAGGAGGGGAUGACGUCAAAUCAUCAUGGCCUUUAUGCCCAGGGCUACACACGUGCUACAAUGGUAUGGACAAAGGGUAGCGACACUGCGAAGUGAAGCCAAUCUCAAAAACCAUAUCUCAGUUCGGAUUGG